AACCUCGUAACUCAGUUGGGAGAGUGCCUCUCUUACAAAGAGGAAGUCGCAGGUUCAAACCCUGCCGAGGUUACCA
This 76-nucleotide transfer RNA is filed under the name Leptolyngbya sp. FACHB-16. Its description in RNAcentral is "tRNA-Val". It matches the Rfam family "tRNA". Rfam says of the family: Transfer RNA (tRNA) molecules are approximately 80 nucleotides in length. Their secondary structure includes four short double-helical elements and three loops (D, anti-codon, and T loops). Lineage: Bacteria; Bacillati; Cyanobacteriota; Cyanophyceae; Leptolyngbyales; Leptolyngbyaceae. RNAcentral also lists the same sequence under 1 other name. The record is from RNAcentral.